UGUUCCCGAGGUUCCGUGGUCGGGCAGAGGGGUUGGGGUAAGGAGCAGGUGGUACCCUGCGGGGCUUGGGAAGUUGGAUUCCCAGCUCACAGCACGGCAAAAGUAGGAGCGAAUGCGGAGUGAUCAGUGUCCCCCUCCCUUUCCCAGCCCUACAGCCAGGAGCAAAAGUUCAGUGCACCAUCCAAAAUACAGGAGAAACAAACCUCCAGCAUUGCCUGCCAGAGGUAGGGGCUGGCCCCCUCCCAGGAGGGCGGUGCAUUAAAAAGCCCUUUCCUCGAGCUGUUUUCCACUCGGGAUAGCAGUGCAGCAAGAAUGGAGACCUGAGGUCUGUUUUUAGCUGGUUAAUUCUUACUUUUCUUUGCUCACUCUGAAGUAGGCCGUGUAAAACCACUCUUCUCCUUUGGUGUGUCUUUUAGCACCAGGAGAAUGGAUCCCCUCUCUUGUAAAUUAAAUUGGCGUGUUAUCCUUGA
Long non-coding RNA from Pseudopipra pipra, 470 nucleotides. RefSeq lists it as uncharacterized. The transcript is spliced from 2 exons. The record is from RefSeq and is a predicted model, not a curated record. Lineage: Eukaryota; Metazoa; Chordata; Aves; Passeriformes; Pipridae.